Molecule: ribosomal RNA, 465 nt
Filed under: uncultured bacterium
Lineage: Bacteria
Description: bacterial SSU rRNA
Rfam family: Bacterial small subunit ribosomal RNA
Source: RNAcentral
GGGCCCGCACAAGCGGUGGAUGAUGUGGUUCAAUUCGAUGCAACGCGAAAAACCUUACCUACCCUUGACAUGCCAGGAAGCUCGAUGAAAGUCGGGUGUGCCCGAAAGGGAACCUGGACACAGGUGCUGCAUGGCUGUCGUCAGCUCGUGUCGUGAGAUGUUGGGUUAAGUCCCGCAACGAGCGCAACCCUUGUCAUUAGUUGCUACAUUCAGUUGGGCACUCUAAUGAGACUGCCGGUGACAAACCGGAGGAAGGUGGGGACGACGUCAAGUCCUCAUGGCCCUUAUGGGUAGGGCCACACACGUCAUACAAUGGCGCAUACAGAGGGAAGCCAACCCGCGAGGGGGAGCAAAUCCCAGAAAGUGCGUCGUAGUCCGGAUUGAAGUCUGCAACUCGACUUCAUGAAGUCGGAAUCGCUAGUAAUCGCGGAUCAGCAUGUCGCGGUGAAUACGUUCCCGGGCCUU